GGCACGGUGGUGCAAUGCUUAGCACUGCUGCCUUACAGCAAGAAGGCCGUGGGUUCGAACCCAGCCUGAGGCC
This is a non-coding RNA of Gymnothorax javanicus (giant moray), 73 nucleotides long. The record is from the annotation of a GenBank genome assembly. Lineage: Eukaryota; Metazoa; Chordata; Actinopteri; Anguilliformes; Muraenidae.